ACGAGCGCACCCUUAUCCCUAGUUGCCAGCACAUCAUGGCUGGGAACUCUAGGGAGACUGCCGGUGACAAACCGGAGGAAGGUGGGGAUGACGUCAGGUCAUCAUGGCCCUUACGGCCAGGGCUACACACGUGCUACAAUGGCGCGCACAGAGGGCUGCAAACCCGCGAGGGGGAGCUAAUCUCACAAAACGCGUCGUAGUCCGGAUCGCAGUCUGCAACUCGACUGCGUGAAGUCGGAAUCGCUAGUAAUCGCGAAUCAGAAUGUCGCGGUGAAUACGUUCCCGGGCCUUGUACACACCGCCCGUCACACCAUGGGAGUGGAUUGCACCAGAAGUGGUUAGUCUAACCUUCGGGAGGACGAUCACCACGGUGUGGUUCAUGACUGGGGUGAAGUCGUAACAAGGUAGCCGUAGGGGAACCUGCGGCUGGAUCACCUCCUU
This 441-nucleotide ribosomal RNA is filed under the name uncultured Marinobacter sp. RNAcentral's name for it is "bacterial SSU rRNA". It matches the Rfam family "Bacterial small subunit ribosomal RNA", at positions 1092 to 1532 of the family's 1533-position model. Lineage: Bacteria; Pseudomonadati; Pseudomonadota; Gammaproteobacteria; Pseudomonadales; Marinobacteraceae. The record is from RNAcentral.